UACAGAGGUCUCAAGCGUUGUUCGGAUUCAUUGGGCGUAAAGGGUGCGUAGGUGGCGCCGUUAGUCGGGUGUGAAAUUUUGGAGCUUAACUCCGAAACUGCAUUCGAUACUGCGGUGCUUGAGGACUGGAGAGGAGACUGGAAUUUACGGUGUAGCAGUGAAAUGCGUAGAGAUCGUAAGGAAGACCAGUGGCGAAGGCGGGUCUCUGGACAGUUCCUGACACUGAGGUGCGAAAGCGUGGGGAGCAAACAGG
This 253-nucleotide ribosomal RNA is filed under the name uncultured bacterium. RNAcentral describes it as "partial 16S ribosomal RNA". It matches the Rfam family "Bacterial small subunit ribosomal RNA", at positions 524 to 776 of the family's 1533-position model. The record is from RNAcentral.